GGUUGUCGUCAGCUCGUGUCGUGAGAUGUUGGGUUAAGUCCCGCAACGAGCGCAACCCCUACGUUACGUUGCUAACGCGUGAAGGCGAGCACUCUAGACGAACUGCCGUUGACAAAACGGAGGAAGGUGGGGAUGACGUCAAAUCAUCAUGCCCCUUAUGUUCUGGGCUACACACGUGCUACAAUGGCCGGCACAGACGGACGCAAAGCCGCGAGGUGGAGCAAAUCCUAAAAAGCCGGUCUCAGUUCGGAUUGCAGGCUGCAAUUCGCCUGCAUGAAGUCGGAAUCGCUAGUAAUCGCAGGUCAGCAUACUGCGGUGAAUACGUUCCCGGGCCUU
RNAcentral lists this ribosomal RNA (336 nucleotides) under uncultured Pelotomaculum sp. Its description in RNAcentral is "bacterial SSU rRNA". It matches the Rfam family "Bacterial small subunit ribosomal RNA", at positions 1047 to 1382 of the family's 1533-position model. Lineage: Bacteria; Bacillati; Bacillota; Clostridia; Eubacteriales; Desulfotomaculaceae. The record is from RNAcentral.